UACGAAGGUCCCAAGCGUUAUCCGGAUUUAUUGGGUUUAAAGGGUGCGUAGGCGGGCUAUUAAGUCAGUGGUGAAAGCCUCAAGCUUAACUUGAGAAUUGCCAUUGAUACUGAUGACCUUGAGUACAUUUGAAGUGGGCGGAAUGUGUCAUGUAGCGGUGAAAUGCUUAGAUAUGACACAGAACACCGAUUGCGUAGGCAGCUCACUAAACUGUAACUGACGCUGAGGCACGAAAGCGUGGGGAGCAAACGGG
RNAcentral lists this ribosomal RNA (253 nucleotides) under uncultured bacterium. RNAcentral's name for it is "partial 16S ribosomal RNA". It matches the Rfam family "Bacterial small subunit ribosomal RNA", at positions 524 to 776 of the family's 1533-position model. The record is from RNAcentral.